GGCCUCCUGGUACUUACCACAGGUUGUGCUCUUAUGCUGACUGUACAGAAAGAGGAGGCAGAGUAAACACACUGUAUAUACCCGGCAGCCCAAGCCUUUUGCCUGGUCUGUAUUGUGAAUGGGGGUAGGGAG
Phyllostomus discolor (pale spear-nosed bat) is the source of this 132-nucleotide small nucleolar RNA. RefSeq annotates it as small nucleolar RNA SNORA51. NCBI's taxonomy places the organism in Eukaryota, Metazoa, Chordata, Mammalia, Chiroptera, Phyllostomidae. The transcript has a single exon. The record is from RefSeq and is a predicted model, not a curated record.